AGCAGCCGCGGUAAUUCCAGCUCCAAUAGCGUAUAUUAAAGUUGUUGCAGUUAAAAAGCUCGUAGUUGAACCUUGGGCCUGGCUGGCCGGUCCGCCUCACCGCGUGCACUGGUCCGGCCGGGCCUUUCCUCCUGGGGAGCCCUAUGCCCUUCACUGGGUGUAGUGGGGAACCAGGACUUUUACCUUGAAAAAAU
RNAcentral lists this ribosomal RNA (194 nucleotides) under uncultured Glomeromycotina. RNAcentral's name for it is "partial 18S ribosomal RNA". It matches the Rfam family "Eukaryotic small subunit ribosomal RNA", at positions 569 to 766 of the family's 1831-position model. Lineage: Eukaryota; Fungi; Glomeromycota. The record is from RNAcentral.